RNAcentral lists this small nucleolar RNA (133 nucleotides) under Dasypus novemcinctus (nine-banded armadillo). RNAcentral describes it as "Small nucleolar RNA SNORA9 (ENSDNOG00000029021.1)". It matches the Rfam family "Small nucleolar RNA SNORA9". Rfam says of the family: ACA9 is a member of the H/ACA class of snoRNA that guide the sites of modification of uridines to pseudouridines. The record is from RNAcentral. Lineage: Eukaryota; Metazoa; Chordata; Mammalia; Cingulata; Dasypodidae.
UUGCAAGCCUCCAGUGUACUUGGUCUUCAGUGACCCUGUGCAUUCCUACACUGCUUGCAAGAACAAUUUUGAAACGGUUUGAGAUCUUGUUCUAUUCCAUCUAUGGAGCAAGUUACAGAAAUUUCAGACAGUU